GAUGAACGCUGGCGGCGUGCCUAAUACAUGCAAGUCGAGCGAACAGAUAGGAGCUUGCUCCUCUGACGUUAGCGGCGGACGGGUGAGUAACACGUGGAUAACCUACCUAUAAGACUGGGAUAACUUCGGGAAACCGGAGCUAAUACCGGAUAAUAUAUUGAACCGCAUGGUUCAAUAGUGAAAGACGGUUUUGCUGUCACUUAUAGAUGGAUCCGCGCCGCAUUAGCUAGUUGGUAAGGUAACGGCUUACCAAGGCAACGAUGCGUAGCCGACCUGAGAGGGUGAUCGGCCACACUGGAACUGAGACACGGUCCAGACUCCUACGGGAGGCAGCAGUAGGGAAUCUUCCGCAAUGGGCGAAAGCCUGACGGAGCAACGCCGCGUGAGUGAUGAAGGUCUUCGGAUCGUAAAACUCUGUUAUUAGGGAAGAACAAAUGUGUAAGUAACUAUGCACGUCUUGACGGUACCUAAUCAGAAAGCCACGGCUAACUACGUG
RNAcentral lists this ribosomal RNA (496 nucleotides) under uncultured bacterium. RNAcentral's name for it is "partial 16S ribosomal RNA". It matches the Rfam family "Bacterial small subunit ribosomal RNA", at positions 28 to 507 of the family's 1533-position model. The record is from RNAcentral.